This 384-nucleotide long non-coding RNA is filed under the name Dendronephthya gigantea. Its description in RNAcentral is "uncharacterized LOC114544196". The record is from RNAcentral. Lineage: Eukaryota; Metazoa; Cnidaria; Anthozoa; Malacalcyonacea; Nephtheidae.
UAAAGAAAGACUUAUCAAAAUGCUCAUUGCUCACAAAGGAGACCAAAACAAAAUAUGAGAUAAAGAUCUCGAAGCACUGUUUCACGAUUUGAGAAGUUGGGUUCGAUCCAAAGCAGGUUUCGCGCUUUCACAACGCUCACUAGGCAAUUGAGUGGAUAUCUUGUGGCUCUCUGGACAACUGGUCAUCCAACAGCAAUGGCAUUACUUUUGAGAAUAAUCCACCAGAGACUAAAGAAGAUUAUUAAUCAAUUCGUGACAAUGUAAAGCUUGCAGAAGCUCUGGAGAAGCGAGAGGAACGUCGAGGAAUAAACUUGAAGGAUAUCUCUCGCAUUGGAGGACAAAAAUAGGGUUCAAAUUCAGGAAAGAUGUGAGAAUUUAAAUCCA